RNAcentral lists this transfer RNA (73 nucleotides) under Felis catus (domestic cat). It matches the Rfam family "tRNA". Rfam says of the family: Transfer RNA (tRNA) molecules are approximately 80 nucleotides in length. Their secondary structure includes four short double-helical elements and three loops (D, anti-codon, and T loops). Lineage: Eukaryota; Metazoa; Chordata; Mammalia; Carnivora; Felidae. The record is from Rfam by way of RNAcentral.
GCCUGGCUGGCUCAGUCAGUAGAGCAUGUGAUUCUUGAUCUCAGGGUCAUGAGUUAAAGUCUCACACAAGACA